AACGAACGCUGGCGGCAGGCUUAACGCAUGCAAGUCGAACGCCCCGCAAGGGGAGUGGCAGACGGGUGAGUACCGCGUGGGAACAUACCCUUUUCUACGGAAUAGCUCUGGGAAACUGGAAUUAAUACCGUAUACGCCCUACGGGGGAAAGAUUUAUCGGGGAAGGAUUGGCCCGCGUUGGAUUAGCUAGUUGGUGGGGUAAAGGCCUACCAAGGCGACGAUCCAUAGCUGGUCUGAGAGGAUGAUCAGCCACAUUGGGACUGAGACACGGCCCAAACUCCUACGGGAGGCAGCAGUGGGGAAUAUUGGACAAUGGGCGCAAGCCUGAUCCAGCCAUGCCGCGUGAGUGAUGAAGGCCUUAGGGUUGUAAAGCUCUUUCACCGAUGAAGAUAAUGACGGUAGUCGGAGAAGAAGCCCCGGCUAACUUCGUG
This 431-nucleotide ribosomal RNA is filed under the name uncultured bacterium. RNAcentral describes it as "partial 16S ribosomal RNA". It matches the Rfam family "Bacterial small subunit ribosomal RNA", at positions 29 to 507 of the family's 1533-position model. The record is from RNAcentral.